RNAcentral lists this ribosomal RNA (492 nucleotides) under uncultured bacterium. RNAcentral's name for it is "partial 16S ribosomal RNA". It matches the Rfam family "Bacterial small subunit ribosomal RNA", at positions 29 to 507 of the family's 1533-position model. The record is from RNAcentral.
AGUGAACGCUGGCGGUAGGCCUAACACAUGCAAGUCGAACGGCAGCACAGUAAGAGCUUGCUCUUACGGGUGGCGAGUGGCGGACGGGUGAGGAAUACAUCGGAAUCUACUUUUUCGUGGGGGAUAACGUAGGGAAACUUACGCUAAUACCGCAUACGACCUACGGGUGAAAGCAGGGGAUCUUCGGACCUUGCGCGAUUGAAUGAGCCGAUGUCGGAUUAGCUAGUUGGCGGGGUAAAGGCCCACCAAGGCGACGAUCCGUAGCUGGUCUGAGAGGAUGAUCAGCAAAAAUGGAACUGAGACAAGGUCCAGACUCCUACGGGAGGCAGCAGUGGGGAAUAUUGGACAAUGGGCGCAAGCCUGAUCCAGCCAUACCGCGUGGGUGAAGAAGGCAUUCGGGUUGUAAAGCCCUUUUGUUGGGAAAGAAAAGCAGCAGGUUAAUACCCCGCUGUUCUGACGGUACCCAAAGAAUAAGCACCGGCUAACUUCGUG